Molecule: long non-coding RNA, 416 nt
Filed under: Musa acuminata (dwarf banana)
Lineage: Eukaryota; Viridiplantae; Streptophyta; Magnoliopsida; Zingiberales; Musaceae
Description: long non-coding RNA (MACU_LNC000419)
Source: RNAcentral
AGGCGUCAAGCUGAAUGGAUUCGCCUGCAAGCCGGCGGAAAACGUGACAGAGGCGGACUUCUUCUUCAAGGGGCUGGCCACGCCGGGCGCCACCAACAACACCAUGGGCUCCCUCGUGACCGGCGCCAACGUCGAGAAGAUACCCGGGCUGAACACCCUGGGCGUGUCCAUGUCCCGCAUCGACUACGCCCCCGGCGGGCUGAACCCGCCCCACACCCACCCGCGCGCCACCGAGAUCGUCUUCGUCCUCGACGGCACCCUCGACGUGGGCUUCAUCACCACCGCCAACAAGCUGAUAGCCAAGACCAUCACCAAGGGCGAAGUCUUCGUCUUCCCCCGUGGGCUCGUCCACUUCCAGAAGAACAACGGCGCGGUGCCCGCCGCCGUCAUCGCCGGCUUCAACAGCCAGCUCCCCG